GGGGGGGUCGAGAGAGGGAGAGGGGAAAGAGGAGUGAGGCUUGGUGGAAAUAGAAGAGAAGGGAGGGAGAGAAGCGUGGUGGUGGUUGUGGUAGCCUGUGGAAAGAAGCAAAUAGCGUAUAGCAGACCAAACUACACCCGGGCAAAAGCAGCCCGUAGCCAGAGUCAGCUUUACAGCCCCUAAAGGCGACCUGCAAUUUGUCGGUUUGCAUUUCUAUUUUCCCCUCAUCUUUUCCCUUUCCCCGUGUUGUGCUCGGCUGGAAGUGGGAUCGGGGGGGCUCUUCGAUGUAACUUACGGCCGCAUGACUUGGACUGCGUUUCAGUGGCUCUCAGCGGAUUACUAAACGUCUCCAGAGCACUGCCCGGGAAUAGCGAUAUUCAGCACUCUGGACGGCGAAUAAGCACUCGAGGCCGCUGAGUGGCUGGCACGUGGCAAGGACCAGGAAGAGGAGGAGGGGGGAGAGGAUGGAUCUUCAGCCCAGAGUGAGAGCCUCUCCCCGGGGAAGCCGACGCCGGACGCAAGGCCUCAUGGGCCGUUGACCCCGCUGUCUCAGUGAUUUAUGGGGCGCUGGGGCAACCGGCCUGCGCAGACUCCUCCACCUCCUCUCUCAACCCCCCGUUCACAUCCACUGCAUCCACACACACUGCGUCACUGUAUCCAGCACGGAUUGAUUCCUGUGCACUCGGGACACACACUGCUCGACACUACACGAGACGCCGUCAACCAAACGCCAAUGCAUCGCACCUUCGACGGCCCAGCGCACCGCUACCUGCCCCGUCUCUCCUGGAGCGUGUGGACGGCGGCCGAGCGCGAGCCAUGAGGCGUCUGCUGUAGCCAUGUCAGCCGCGAGCUGCUGCUGCUCAGGGAUCCGCUUGGAUCGAUGGAAGUGCGCCGAGUAACGAGGUGACGUUCCCGCUUUCCUCUCGCCCAGAGAAGCAUCGGCAGCCAGCAGCGAUCUCCUCCUUUCCAGAUCCACACACACACACACACACACACACACACACACACACACACACACACACACACACACACACACACAGACACACACACACACACACACACAGACACACACACACACACACACACACACAGACGCAAACACAC
This is a long non-coding RNA of Gadus macrocephalus (Pacific cod), 1104 nucleotides long. RefSeq lists it as uncharacterized. The transcript is spliced from 2 exons. Lineage: Eukaryota; Metazoa; Chordata; Actinopteri; Gadiformes; Gadidae. The record is from RefSeq and is a predicted model, not a curated record.